AGAGCCAGGGAAUUCGCCACAGGUUUCCCCAAUUACGGCGAUCCCAUAUAAACAAGAAUUAAAUUACUGUACAAAACAAACACAACAACACAAAUUUUCAAGCAACUUAACAAGCUAAAACUAAUAAGGCUAAUAACGGAAAUCUAUACUGUCCAUGUUCAAUAAUAUAGGACUAACAACAACUUAUUACAUUGUUAAGCGAUCUUGCUCUUUUGCACUUUACACACACUGAUUUCCAGGUGCGCGGAUCGACACAUUUGAAAGUUUUGGAUAGUGCAUGUUUGUAGUAGAGUUUAA
Non-coding RNA from Paramuricea clavata, 297 nucleotides. The record is from the annotation of a GenBank genome assembly. Lineage: Eukaryota; Metazoa; Cnidaria; Anthozoa; Malacalcyonacea; Plexauridae.